CUGAAUUUCCUAGGGGGCGUCAAAGCCUACCGAAGAAUAUCAAACUCCGAAUGCCGCGUAAUCGAUUAUCGGGAGUCAGACUGCACGAGAUAAGUUGGGCGGUCAAAAGGGAAAGAGCCCAGACCUACAGUUAAGGUCCCAAAGUGCGCGUUAAGUGGAAAAGGAUGUGGGAUUUCGAAGACAACCAGGAUGUUGGCUCAGAAGCAGCCAUACAUUCAAAGAGUGCGUAAUAGCUCACUGGUCGAGAGGUCCUGCGCCGAAAAUGUCCGGGGCUGAAACGCGCCACCGAAACUAAGGAAUCUGAAAAGAUUGGUAGAGGAGCAUUGCAUGCGGGAAGAAGCAGUACCGGAAGGAGCUGUGGACUGCAUGGAAGAGAGAAUGCCGGAAUGAGUAGCGAGAUAGAGGUGGGAAUCCUCUAGGCCGAAUAUCCAAGGUUUCCAGGGUAAAGCUGAUCUGCCCUGGGUGAGUCGGGACCUAAGGUGAGGGCGAGAGCCGUAGCCGAUGGACAACAGGUUGAUAUUCCUGUACUGCAGUAUGACAGAACUGUGGGGACACGUAAGGAGAGCGGGAGCCGGGAAUGGAAAGCCCGGUACAAGCGAGGUACCAGUCACAUAGGAAAAUCCGUGUGGCAAUGGGAAGACGUGAUGUGGAGUGAAUUUUAGUAACGAAGCCCGUGAGCCAUGCGUCAAGAAAAGCCGCUAUCGUUCAUAUUGUACCCGUACCGUAAACCGACACAGGUGGAUGAGGAGAGAAUCCUAAGGCCGGCGGAAGAAGUAUUGCCAAGGAACUCGGCAAAAUGGCCCCGUAACUUAGGGAGAAGGGGUGCCUGCGAGAGCAGGCCGCAGAGAAUAGGCUCAAGCAACUGUUUAGCAAAAACACAGGUCUAUGCGAAACCGAAAGGUGAGGUAUAUGGGCUGACGCCUGCCCGGUGCUGGAAGGUUAAGAGGAGAGGUUAGCGCAAGCGAAGCUUUGAAUUUAAGCCCCAGUAAACGGCGGCCGUAACUAUAACGGUCCUAAGGUAGCGAAAUUCCUUGUCGGGUAAGUUCCGACCCGCACGAAAGGCGUAAUGAUUUGAGCGCUGUCUCGACAAUGCAUCCGGUGAAAUUGAAGUGCCAGUGAAGAUGCUGGCUACCCGCGCCAGGACGGAAAGACCCCAUGGAGCUUUACUCCAGUUUGGCACUGGGGUCCGGUGUUGCAUGUACAGGAUAGGUGGGAGGCUGAGAAACGGUAACGUCAGUUGCCGCGGAGCCGCUGUUGGGAUACCACCCUUGUGAUAUUGGGCUUCUAACCAGCCGCCGUAAUCCGGCGGUGGGACAAUGCCAGGCGGGGAGUUUGACUGGGGCGGUCGCCUCCGAAAGGGUAUCGGAGGCGCCCAAAGGUUCCCUCAGAAUGG
RNAcentral lists this ribosomal RNA (1393 nucleotides) under human gut metagenome. RNAcentral describes it as "bacterial LSU rRNA". It matches the Rfam family "Bacterial large subunit ribosomal RNA", at positions 910 to 2330 of the family's 2925-position model. The record is from RNAcentral.